Non-coding RNA from Mesitornis unicolor (brown roatelo), 47 nucleotides. Lineage: Eukaryota; Metazoa; Chordata; Aves; Mesitornithiformes; Mesitornithidae. The record is from Rfam.
CAAUCAGCUUUCCUAAAAGCUACAUAAUCUGACAAUUCAAUUUUAAU